Molecule: ribosomal RNA, 253 nt
Filed under: uncultured bacterium
Lineage: Bacteria
Description: partial 16S ribosomal RNA
Rfam family: Bacterial small subunit ribosomal RNA
Source: RNAcentral
UACGUAGGGUGCAAGCGUUAAUCGGAAUUACUGGGCGUAAAGCGUGCGCAGGCGGUUGUGCAAGACAGGUGUGAAAUCCCCGGGCUUAACCUGGGAACUGCGCUUGUGACUGCACGGCUGGAGUACGGCAGAGGGGGAUGGAAUUCCGCGUGUAGCAGUGAAAUGCGUAGAUAUGCGGAGGAACACCGAUGGCGAAGGCAGUCCCCUGGGCCUGUACUGACGCUCAUGCACGAAAGCGUGGGGAGCAAACAGG